AAGGAAAGGAAAGGAAAAUGAAAUGAUAUAUGUAUAUAUAUGUAUAUACUUUUUUCUCCUUUUAUUUUUCUUUCUCUUCCUAUUUUUUCACUAAACGUUUAGAUUAAAAAUGUAUCCAUGCAUCUUGGUCCCUUGCCUUUUCAAGGAAUCUCAAGCCAACUACUUUCGUGUAUUAUCUUAAUCUUAAAUUGUCUAUCUUGAAAAGAAUAUAGCAUGCUUAUGAAUCAAAAC
Molecule: non-coding RNA, 231 nt
Filed under: Polytomella parva
Lineage: Eukaryota; Viridiplantae; Chlorophyta; Chlorophyceae; Chlamydomonadales; Chlamydomonadaceae
Source: RNAcentral